This is a long non-coding RNA of Sinocyclocheilus anshuiensis, 501 nucleotides long. RefSeq lists it as uncharacterized. Lineage: Eukaryota; Metazoa; Chordata; Actinopteri; Cypriniformes; Cyprinidae. The record is from RefSeq and is a predicted model, not a curated record. The transcript has 3 exons.
UCGGCUUCACGGUUAUCAGUUAAGACUUCAGUCUGAGUCUCUCGCUUACAGAUUUGUUUGAAUUUGUGGAAUGUUUUACAACAGAGGACAAAAAGAGCAAUGGUAUGUUUACCGACAACCCAAUGAAACCUGCCAUGCGUAAUCCACGCUAUCGUUUGCCACUUCCAGUCACGAAAAAGACUUUACAACACCUGCAAGCACGUGCAGCCUGAAGUUCUGCAGAGUAAAACCAGCCUGCAACUUGCUGGAAUUUCUCCCUGCCGUCCUUGCAAUUGCAGUAAUAAUCAUCUGACACAGUGUGACCAAGAUCCCUUUUGAUACUUUGCGGAACAGAAGAAAACACCUAAAGAAACCAGACGGAGAAGAAAUGGUUUGAUGACUAUACAAGGCACGACAACCUCUGUUGAUCUCGCUUUCCAGCAAGUGGACGACUACACCCCAUCAUCCUAGAGAAUGAUGCCGGCAAUUGUAAAAAGAAAAAGUCACACGUCUUUCCUUGAG